Molecule: small nuclear RNA, 109 nt
Organism: Pteronotus mesoamericanus
Lineage: Eukaryota; Metazoa; Chordata; Mammalia; Chiroptera; Mormoopidae
Source: RefSeq, a predicted model, not a curated record
GUUCGCUUUGGCAGCACAUAUACUAAAACUGGAACAAUAGAAAGGAUUACCACGGCCCCUGUGCAAGGCUGACACGCAAAUUCAAAUUUGUGAGGCGUUCCAUGUUUAU